This 71-nucleotide transfer RNA is filed under the name Bos taurus (domestic cattle). It matches the Rfam family "tRNA". Rfam says of the family: Transfer RNA (tRNA) molecules are approximately 80 nucleotides in length. Their secondary structure includes four short double-helical elements and three loops (D, anti-codon, and T loops). Further hydrogen bonds mediate the characteristic L-shaped molecular structure. tRNAs have two regions of fundamental functional importance: the anti-codon, which is responsible for specific mRNA codon recognition, and the 3' end, to which the tRNAs corresponding amino acid is attached (by aminoacyl-tRNA synthetases). tRNAs cope with the degeneracy of the genetic code in two manners: having more than one tRNA (with a specific anti-codon) for a particular amino acid; and 'wobble' base-pairing, i.e. permitting non-standard base-pairing at the 3rd anti-codon position. The record is from Rfam by way of RNAcentral. RNAcentral also lists the same sequence under 5 other names. Lineage: Eukaryota; Metazoa; Chordata; Mammalia; Artiodactyla; Bovidae.
CCCUCAUAGCUCAGUCAGUAAAGAAUCUGCCUGCAAGGUAGAAGACCCAGGUUUGAUUCCUGGAUCAGGAA